This is a small nucleolar RNA of Mesocricetus auratus (golden hamster), 124 nucleotides long. The record is from Ensembl. Lineage: Eukaryota; Metazoa; Chordata; Mammalia; Rodentia; Cricetidae.
CGCAUCUUUGGACCUGACAGCUGUGGCUGUCUCCCUUCCAAGCCACAAAAGAGUAUAUUCUUGUUUAUUGGCAAAGCAUCACUGUUUAAUUGGUAUCAGAUACUGACUUGCACGAGCAGCAUCC